AGUACUGCAACAAUAGAAAUAAUCAGUUUCAACUAUUCUACGUACUUGAAGACGAAGUGUGUCGGUGCAAAAUUUCUAUGAUUGAUCAAAAUAAAUAAAGAAGCUCUAGUUUGUCGCCCCCUUCCUUUCGACAAUGACCUAAUGCGGUAUAUGAAAAACGUUUCAUUUUCUCGUUAAUAUAAGAUGUUCGCUACCUACGCGUGUUGAUACGCAGUAAAUUGUAGGUGGAUUCUAUUUGGGGCUGAAUGCCUGAGAUGUGGCAUGUUAGCGGCCAGACCUCAGGAGUUCUUCUGCUCCACAUAUUUUCGUUGGAACACCUUGUAUACCUACGAAGUGACAUCGAAAUUUGCAGAUCAAAAAGGCGUUGGAAUUUUGUUCACCAGAAUUGGCCAUUUUUUCGCCCUCGCAACUUUGUAACUAUAAUAGGGAGAAGCGCUAAGAUAAAUCUUCAGGAGUUCGACACUAUCAUAUACUAAAGGCAAGCGUUUGGACGAAGAGGGCAUCAACUUCUCAGGUCAUUAGCCCUUUUUACUGGUUCUUGUUCUACUUAAACGUUUUCAGACUAGAAUCGUUUUUCCAUGUAAGAUGUAAGCGGAGACUUUCAGGUACUUCACAGUGUUCCUCAUUCCAUCAGGAUCCGUCAGGCACUUCUCCGUUCUUUGUUGAAGUUCGUACAUUACUCUUUUCAAAUAUCGCAAUUCAAUGAGACGGUCUUAUACUAUAAAUUGGUAACAAUAAAUGAGCCUGUUUAUUUAUAUAACAAAAUUCAAUUUAGUAAUAAUCCUAGAUUGGUUAAUUUAUUAUAUCCCCAAUUCAUAA
Molecule: long non-coding RNA, 819 nt
Organism: Photinus pyralis (common eastern firefly)
Lineage: Eukaryota; Metazoa; Arthropoda; Insecta; Coleoptera; Lampyridae
Exons: 4
Source: RefSeq, a predicted model, not a curated record